This 480-nucleotide ribosomal RNA is filed under the name Bergeyella zoohelcum. RNAcentral describes it as "bacterial SSU rRNA". It matches the Rfam family "Bacterial small subunit ribosomal RNA", at positions 9 to 479 of the family's 1533-position model. The record is from RNAcentral. Lineage: Bacteria; Pseudomonadati; Bacteroidota; Flavobacteriia; Flavobacteriales; Weeksellaceae.
GAGUUUGAUCAUGGCUCAGGAUGAACGCUAGCGGGAGGCCUAACACAUGCAAGCCGAGCGGGAUUUGUUGGUUAGCUUGCUAACUAAUAAUGAGAGCGGCGUACGGGUGCGUAACACGUGUGCAACCUGCCUUUAUCUGGGGGAUAGCCUUUCGAAAGGAAGAUUAAUACCCCAUAAUAUAUUAAUUGGCAUCAAUUGAUAUUGAAAGCUCCGGCGGAUAGAGAUGGGCACGCGUAAGAUUAGCUAGUUGGUGAGGUAACGGCUCACCAAGGCUGCGAUCUUUAGGGGGCCUGAGAGGGUGAUCCCCCACACUGGUACUGAGACACGGACCAGACUCCUACGGGAGGCAGCAGUGAGGAAUAUUGGACAAUGGGUGAGAGCCUGAUCCAGCCAUCCCGCGUGAAGGACUAAGGACCUAUGGUUUGUAAACUUCUUUUAUACAGGGAUAAACCUACUCUCGUGAGGGUAAGCUGAAGUACU